Molecule: ribosomal RNA, 426 nt
Filed under: uncultured bacterium
Lineage: Bacteria
Description: partial 16S ribosomal RNA
Rfam family: Bacterial small subunit ribosomal RNA
Source: RNAcentral
GUGAGGAAUUUUCCGCAAUGGGCGAAAGCCUGACGGAGCAAUGCCGCGUGAAGGAGGAAGGCCUAUGGGUUGUAAACUUCUUUUCUCAGAAAAGAAUUAUGACGGUAUCUGAGGAAUAAGCAUCGGCUAACUCUGUGCCAGCAGCCGCGGUAAGACAGAGGAUGCAAGCGUUAUCCGGAAUGAUUGGGCGUAAAGCGUCUGUAGGUUGUUUAAAAAGUAUUCUGUAAAAGAUUAGGGCUUAACCCUAGAUAGGCAGAAUAAACUUUUAAGCUAGAGUUUGGUAGAGGCAGAGGGAAUGCCCGGUGGAGCGGUGAAAUGCGUAGAUAUCGGGAGGAACACCAAAGGCGAAGGCACUCUGCUGGGCCAAUACUAACACUGAGAGACGAAAGCGAGGGGAGCAAAUGGGAUUAGAAACCCCGGUAGUCC